AAUCCAUGCAUCGAACACUUCUAAAUUAAGAUUUUAAAUCGCUCCGAAGCUUCAUAUAGCGUUUCAUCCUCCAUUUGCCAAAAAGAUGUGAUGCCAUUUCUAAGUUU
Molecule: non-coding RNA, 107 nt
Organism: Gossypium hirsutum (cotton)
Lineage: Eukaryota; Viridiplantae; Streptophyta; Magnoliopsida; Malvales; Malvaceae
Source: Rfam